AGUCUGCAACCCGACUACAUGAAGCUGGAAUCGCUAGUAAUCGCGAAUCAGAAUGUCGCGGUGAAUACGUUCCCGGGUCUUGUACACACCGCCCGUCACACCAUGGGAGUCGGAAAUGCCCGAAGCCUGUGACCCAACCGAGAGGAGGGAGCAGUCGAAGGUGGAGCCGGUGACUGGGGUGAAGUCGUAACAAGGUAGC
This 199-nucleotide ribosomal RNA is filed under the name uncultured bacterium. Its description in RNAcentral is "partial 16S ribosomal RNA". It matches the Rfam family "Bacterial small subunit ribosomal RNA", at positions 1302 to 1500 of the family's 1533-position model. The record is from RNAcentral.